UACGGAGGGUGCAAACGUUGCUCGGAAUCAUUGGGCGUAAAGCGCACGUAGGCGGUUCGUUAAGUCGGAUGUGAAAGCCCUCGGCUCAACCGAGGAAGGGCAUCCGAAACUGGCGUGCUUGAGUACGGAAGAGGGUCUCGGAAUUCCCGGUGUAGAGGUGAAAUUCGUAGAUAUCGGGAGGAACACCAGUGGCGACGGCGGAGACCUGGGCCGAUACUGACGCUGAGGUGCGAAAGCGUGGGGAGCAAACAGG
This 253-nucleotide ribosomal RNA is filed under the name uncultured bacterium. RNAcentral describes it as "partial 16S ribosomal RNA". It matches the Rfam family "Bacterial small subunit ribosomal RNA", at positions 524 to 776 of the family's 1533-position model. The record is from RNAcentral.